UAUUUUUUCUUGCUUCCAGGUUGUGUUUUAUUCUGAUAUUUAACUGUCAUCCUCUCCACACACCCUCACUGAUGACUGGGAAUUAGAGAGGAGGCCCUUAAAUGGCAGCGAGGGGAAAAGUCGGCCGUGGGUUGAAAAACAAGCAAAAUAGCCUCAUGCUCAUUGGCCCAGUUCGAAGUCCAUUCCAGGCUGCACUACUUCCAGAAGCUCGGCAUGUCUACCUACCUACCACAGGACAAAAGAAGUCAUGGUCAUGGGCCCUGCUUCGCCAAACCAAAGACAGACACGUGUGAAGGGCCAGCGCCCAUGUUCGCCCGUCAGGCUGGCAGGAAGGGCGCCCGGUCCUGAGUGAGAUGGCUGCUGGCACUUGGGAAGCGACUGUAAGGAGCUUCUGCCUUCCCAGUGCGCCUUUAUACAGUAAAACGUGUCAAUUGUACGAGUAGGCUUCUAAUGCCCAGCCUCUCUGAAAACACAUUGGUUUCCUACCUUCGAGGUCAUUAUUUUCCACAAAAAGAAGCGGGGAAAAUAAAUAUUGACCUCUGGAUAAAAUAGCAAGUUACAUAAGUCUGGGAAAGUAAAUACUAUCUAGGUUGACACCAAAUCAUUAACCAGGGAGAUAGCUGAAACCUGCCAUCACCUAGCUGACAACUGUGACUUAAGCAGCUUCAACCUAUUAGCCCGAGAAGAAGGCUUAUUUGUGCCCCUUCCAUUUUCUUGCCCUUGCCUGUUUUGCUUAUUUAAGUUGGGGGUUACUGCAAGCAGUCUGCAAUUCUAAAGCCAUUGAUGAUGGUAUCAAUUACUUUAUUACAAUCCUACACUGGCAUCAAAAGAAACAAUGAUUCUGGCAUUGACUGAAGUUGGGAGCCACGUACCUAUUAUACAGCCAAACUGAGGUCACUUAAGAAGUACUGAAAAUUAAGGAGCUGUUUUCACAAAGGCACUUCACCUAGUAGCUUCAAGCAUGAAAAAGUUCCAGACGUGCUGUGCAAUUUCAGCCCAACAUUUACCACAUCUAGUAAAGCCUGAGCCUGGAAUCCAGAACAGGGCUGCUCCAAGGGCCCAGAAACCUUUGGAAUCGUAGAAGGAAUCUGACUGGGAGUCUGCAGACUGGAAGUUUCCUGAAAGUAAAAGAACCAUAAUGAGAUAUGCUACCCUGGUAUUGCCUCUUAAGUGAUGGCAAGGACGUGUUCUUGAGAAGACGAAACCUUUUUUGAGGGCUAAUAUUGCAUUACAUUUCACACAUGGAGUCAGUUGUGUAUUGCUGCCAUUAUUGUACAAUUUCGCCUCAGACCACAUUGCUUCUGCAGCCCCCUGCAUUCAGGCAGGGGCAGUGCAAGCAAAACAGUGAAUGGGCUUCUCCUUCCAGGCCAGUUGCUCUGACGCUCAACCUAAAGAAUGCUUUGGGUGCCACGCGCUAUGUAGACAUCUCUCCGUUAGUGGAGAAACGCUAAAAUCACAGAGGCCUGCUAUCAAGAUGUGGGGUGCCUCUUCCCUAUAACGUAAGAUAAUAGAGCUGCUGCACUUUGCUUUUCUGACAUUUUCCAAAAUCGUAACUUGUUAGUUUUAAACAGCAUGGACAAAACUAGGCCAUGGCAAUAAAAUGAUAGUUCUUUAUAUUUCCAGUUGAACCACAUAUGUAUUAAAGUUAAGGGGUUCUUUGUGUGUGUGUU
Molecule: long non-coding RNA, 1670 nt
Organism: Myotis brandtii (Brandt's bat)
Lineage: Eukaryota; Metazoa; Chordata; Mammalia; Chiroptera; Vespertilionidae
Exons: 3
Source: RefSeq, a predicted model, not a curated record